AAAAGCAGAAAGCGAAGUUCUGAGCUGAACUUGGUCACUUACGACCUUCGGCUCCAAGACUCAGUAUUAUGGCCUGAAAACCAGACAUCAUUUUCUCAGUUCUUUCUUCUUAAAAAUAAAAUGUUGAGUAGCUGCUACACCAGAAAGAUGGUGGAGCAAGAGCAAAGAAAAAUCCCUUUGGUUCCAGAAAAUCUCCUGAAAAGGAGGAAGGCUUAUCAAGCCCUCGAAGCCACUCAGGCAAAGCAGGCACUUUUGGCAAAGAAGGAGCAGAGGAAAGGAAAAGGGCUCAGGUUUAAGCGAGUGGAGUCAUUCCUACGUGAUUCCUGGCAGCAGACACGUGGCAAGGUGCAUGUCAGACGACUGGAAGUGAAGCCUCACGCCUUGGAAUUGCCAGAUAAACAUUCUUUGGCCUUUGUUGUAUGCAUCGAAAGGAUUGAUGGUGUGAGUUUACUGGUGCAGAGAACCGCUGCCAAGACUUCGCCUAAAGAAAAUUUUUAGUGGUGUCUUUGUAAAAGUCACUCUCCAGAACCUGAAAAUGCUGCGUAUAGUGGAAGCUUAUGUGACCUGGGGAUUUCCAAAUCUGAAGUCAGUCCGGGAACUCAUUUUGAAACGUGGACAAGCCAGGGUCAAGGACAAGACCAUCCCUCUGACAGACAACACUGUGAUUGAGGGGCACCUGGGGAAGUUUGGUGUCAUUUGCUUGGAAGACCUCAUUCAUGAAAUUGCCUUCCCGGGGAAGCAUUUCCAGGAGAUCUCAUGGUUCUUUCUCCCUUUCCACCUCUCAGUGGCCCGUCAUGCUACCAAAAAUAGAGUGGGCUUCCUCAAGGAGAUGGGCACACCUGGCUAUUGGGGUGAACGCAUCAAUCAGCUCAUCUGCCAGCUGAACUAGAACCAGGUGCCAAAUUGCAAUAAAUUUUUAUCAAUGAAGUGGAAGCAUGUGUUUUUGGGUUUGGAGAAUUUGUAUCAAGUAUCUUCAGAGAAGAUUAUUUCCUGCUUUAUCUUUAAAAACUGGAAAGGAAGGGUCAAAGAAAAGACAGUAGCUGGCCAGGCGCGGUGGCUCAUGUCUGUAAUCCCAAUACUUUGAGACCCUGAGGAGGGCGGAUUACCUAAGGUCGGGAGUUCGAGACCAGCCUGACCAACAUGGUGAAACCCUGUCUCUACUGAAAAUACAAAAAUUAGCGGGGCAUGGUGGCCCAUGCCUAUAAUCCCAGCUACUCGGGAGGCUGAGGCAGGAGAAUCGCUUGAACCCGGGAGGCAGGGGUUGCGGUGAGCUAAGAUCACACCAUUGCACUUUAGCCUAGGCAACAAGCAAAACU
Molecule: non-coding RNA, 1316 nt
Organism: Saimiri boliviensis boliviensis (Bolivian squirrel monkey)
Lineage: Eukaryota; Metazoa; Chordata; Mammalia; Primates; Cebidae
Source: RefSeq, a predicted model, not a curated record